GAUGAACGCUGGCGGCGUGCCUAAUACAUGCAAGUCGAGCGAACAGACGAGGAGCUUGCUCCUCUGACGUUAGCGGCGGACGUGUGAGUAACACGUGGAUAACCUACCUAUAAGACUGGGAUAACUUCGGGAAACCGGAGCUAAUACCGGAUAAUAUAUUGAACCGCAUGGUUCAAUAGUGAAAGACGGUUUUGCUGUCACUUAUAGAUGGAUCCGCGCCGCAUUAGCUAGUUGGUAAGGUAACGGCUUACCAAGGCGACGAUGCGUAGCCGACCUGAGAGGGUGAUCGGCCACACUGGAACUGAGACACGGUCCAGACUACUAAGGGAGGCAGCAGUAGGGAAUCUUCCGCAAUGGGCGAAAGCAUGACGGAGCAAGGCCGCGUGAGUGAUGAAGGUCUUCGGAUCGUAAAACUCUGUUAUUAGGGAAGAACAAAUGUGUAAGUAACUAUGCACGUCUUGACGGUACCUAAUAAGAAAGCCACGGCUAACUACGUG
RNAcentral lists this ribosomal RNA (497 nucleotides) under uncultured bacterium. RNAcentral describes it as "partial 16S ribosomal RNA". It matches the Rfam family "Bacterial small subunit ribosomal RNA", at positions 28 to 507 of the family's 1533-position model. The record is from RNAcentral.